RNAcentral lists this ribosomal RNA (690 nucleotides) under Triticum aestivum (bread wheat). RNAcentral describes it as "partial small subunit ribosomal RNA". The record is from RNAcentral. Lineage: Eukaryota; Viridiplantae; Streptophyta; Magnoliopsida; Poales; Poaceae.
AUGAAGAACGAAUCCUACUCUAUCAUCUCCUGUAACGUAAGAGGCUUAGGUGAUUCUGACAAAUGUGCAAAUGUAUUCUCUGAAAUUAACCUCCUGCGCCCAUCCAUAGCAUUUCUCCAAGAAACAAAACUACAAACGCCCGACACAAUUAAGCUUCGAUCGAUUUUGCCGCGUUUUCUUGACUCUAAUAAUCACCUUGACGCAAUUGGAUCCGCGGGGGGCUUACUUUCGGCCACCAACUCCAGAUGUUUCUCACUUAUCAACUGCCAACAUAGACGAUUCACAUCUACCUUAACUCUAACUUGUCUUGCCUCACCACACCACAUCUUUCUCACGAACGUAUAUGCGCCCUCUCAGCGUGAGCUGAAGUUGACCUUCCUACAGGAACUACAAGCCAUUGAACCACCCCCACAAUCUCCCUGGCUACUAAUUGGUGAUUUUAACCUCACACGAUUCCCAAACGAACGCAACAACGAAAACUUCCGCCGAUCCGAAGCUGAUGCUUUCAACAACACCAUUGAUCAACUUGCACUCAUCGAGCUCCCUCUCCUCGAUCGUGAGUUCACAUGGUCAAAUAAAAGGGCAUCACCCACUUUAAUACGUCUAGAUAGGGUUCUUAUCAACAUUGCCUGGGACGCCACCUUCCCAAACUCUCAUCUCACUUCUCUCACUAGGUUUAUUUCUAAUCAC